RNAcentral lists this unclassified non-coding RNA (302 nucleotides) under Hevea brasiliensis (rubber tree). Lineage: Eukaryota; Viridiplantae; Streptophyta; Magnoliopsida; Malpighiales; Euphorbiaceae. The record is from RNAcentral.
AUUGAUAGGAAUUUUCCAGCUGAUGUGAUUCUGGGCAAUGGGCGUAGGUUAUCUGGUGUGUCUCUCUACUCUGGAGAGCCACUGAAUGGAACAAUGUUUCCUCUGGUUUAUCCAGGGAAAUCGGGGGUGCUCUCGACUUCAUUAUGCAUGGAGAAUUCCCUGGAUUCAAAUAUGGUUACAGGUAAAAUUGUUAUUUGCGAUCGGGGAAGUAGUCCGAGAGUGGCUAAGGGGUUAGUUGUCAAGAAAGCUGGAGGAGUGGGUAUGGUUCUUGCAAAUGGAAUUUCCAACGGUGAAGGGCUUGU